GUGUUGUGUUUAGGGGUGUACCUCCAACUUUUAAUCAGGUGGUCCAGGGUUCGAGUCCCUGUCAGCCCACCA
Molecule: transfer RNA, 72 nt
Filed under: Synechococcus sp. TMED20
Lineage: Bacteria; Bacillati; Cyanobacteriota; Cyanophyceae; Synechococcales; Synechococcaceae
Description: tRNA-Lys
Source: RNAcentral